UAUGCAACUGAUGAUAAAACAGACAGGGACAUCAGUUACUCCCGAGGGAGAAUGAUGACUUAGUCUAAUGGGAAUCUCUCUGAUGCAUA
Non-coding RNA from Citrus sinensis (sweet orange), 89 nucleotides. The record is from Rfam. NCBI's taxonomy places the organism in Eukaryota, Viridiplantae, Streptophyta, Magnoliopsida, Sapindales, Rutaceae.